UACGUAGGGUGCGAGCGUUAAUCGGAAUUACUGGGCGUAAAGCGUGCGCAGGCGGUUUUGUAAGCCGGAUGUGAAAUCCCCGGGCUUAACCUGGGAAUGGCAUUCGGGACUGCAAGGCUGGAGUGCGGCAGAGGAGACUGGAAUUCCUGGUGUAGCAGUGAAAUGCGUAGAUAUCGGAAGGAACAUCAGUGGCGAAAGCGACUUCCUGGACCAAUACUGACGCUCAUGUGCGAAAGCGUGGGGAGCAAACAGG
RNAcentral lists this ribosomal RNA (253 nucleotides) under uncultured bacterium. Its description in RNAcentral is "partial 16S ribosomal RNA". It matches the Rfam family "Bacterial small subunit ribosomal RNA", at positions 524 to 776 of the family's 1533-position model. The record is from RNAcentral.